GCCUCUAUUCCAAUUUUAUGUUUAGUUGAAAAUUUGCGAAGUCCAUCGAGAAUAAAAUGAUGUUAUUCCCUAAUUUAGAAUAAAGCAAAUUUUUUUCUCAUGAUGGAUCUAGAAUAAGCUAUUGCAUAAUCCAACAUGGAAUAGCUUAAACCAGAUAAAAGAGAAUAAAGUACGAUUAAUGCACUUUUGAUUGAAAUUGCUAAACUCAUGAGCCCCACC
RNAcentral lists this long non-coding RNA (219 nucleotides) under Elaeis guineensis (African oil palm). RNAcentral's name for it is "long non-coding RNA (EGUI_LNC039010)". The record is from RNAcentral. Lineage: Eukaryota; Viridiplantae; Streptophyta; Magnoliopsida; Arecales; Arecaceae.